CGAGUCAGCUAAGCAGUCGCUGUACAGUUUACUGUAUAGAGGAAAGUCCGGGCUUCACAGAACGCAGCGCCAGAUAACAUCUGGACGGUGUGAACCGAUGGAAAGUGCCACAGAAAAUAAACCGCCUUUUUGUAACACAAGAGGUAAGGGUGAAAAGGUGCGGUAAGAGCGCACCGCGUAAUGAGUAAUCAUUGCGGCAAGGCAAACCCCGCUGGAAGCAAGACCAAGUAUGAAUCCGUUAACGCUGUUCGUGUUGGAUUCGGGUGGGUUGCUUGAGGUGAAUGGCGACAUUCAUCCCAGACAGAUGAUUGCUCUCGACAAAACCCGGCUUAUCGGCUGACUCAUUUU
Molecule: RNase P RNA, 348 nt
Filed under: Gammaproteobacteria bacterium RIFCSPHIGHO2_12_FULL_36_30
Lineage: Bacteria; Pseudomonadati; Pseudomonadota; Gammaproteobacteria
Also listed under: 1 other name
Description: RNase P RNA component class A
Rfam family: Bacterial RNase P class A
About the family: Ribonuclease P (RNase P) is a ubiquitous endoribonuclease, found in archaea, bacteria and eukarya as well as chloroplasts and mitochondria. Its best characterised activity is the generation of mature 5'-ends of tRNAs by cleaving the 5'-leader elements of precursor-tRNAs.
Source: RNAcentral